UUUGUCUUGCUACAAUAAUUAACAGUAAUCCUAUUAAAGUUCAGCUAAAGUUCAUAUAUAUAGGCGGAUCAUGCUUCCCUUAUGAGCUACCAAAUUCUUAUCACCUCCACUGUGCACGGUUGCACUAUUUGCUUUAUUUUAAAUUUAUUGAUCUCCAUCCUCCAAGCACUGCAUCUGAAUUUAAAAGAAGCCAAGGCUGUCAUGAUUCUACUUGCUCCUGGACACCAGGCACACGGUGGCAAGAGUUGUUCAAGAGCUCCUGCAGCUUGUGGGCGUGAUUAUUUUUAUUGCAGUUCUUAGGCUUCAGCACAUGCAAACAAAAGAGGAAAUUAACAACCCCAUCAAGUACCCAUUUUAAAUUAUUAAUUUUGAUUAUCUUAAUAGAAUUAUUGCAUGCAUUAAUUCAAGAUUAAUGUUAUAUAAUUUUCUUGAAGAUCUGUGUGUUGGAACCAUGGAAACAUUGCACUUUGUAAAACAAUAUUUUAAACCAUGUUGCUUACUCUUGCUAGGACUGUCUCAAAACUCAGGACAUGACAGCUAAUGUAGAUCAAGAAUAUGGGAUCCUUCCUUCUUAUGAUCUAUUGCUCAUCUAUAUAUAACAGGUUCAAUGUGAUGGUCUAAACAACAGCCAAGAAAACCAGUAAAUUCAAAUUCUUUAUAGGCUUUCAUCUAUAGAAGUGAGAAAAUGGCAGUGUUUCAUCUCCGAUCAAUCAGCUUACCUUCUAGAUCUCAUCCUCUAGCAGUAAACAUUGAGGAGC
This 758-nucleotide long non-coding RNA is filed under the name Manihot esculenta (cassava). RNAcentral's name for it is "long non-coding RNA (MESC_LNC008141)". The record is from RNAcentral. Lineage: Eukaryota; Viridiplantae; Streptophyta; Magnoliopsida; Malpighiales; Euphorbiaceae.